UGCUGGCGCAAGUCGUCUUGCGCCAGGCGACUGGGUCUGAGGAGGCAGGAGUUAUUCAUUCCCUUAAGCUUUCAGGCCGGGGGGAGAAUCUUUCAGGUGGUAGCUGCAAGAACUCUUAGUAUGUUGACCUCACCUCUGCCUUCCACAUACCACUACCAGUGAGGAAUUAGGAAUGCAUGAGAAGAGUGUCCAAGAAGAGUGUCCUCAUUCAUGCAAGGCUUAAGAGAGAAUGCAGGUCAACAUCACCAUGUCAAUCAGAGAAUACUUCUGUUGGGUUGAAUGACUCUCUGCCCCCAGUCUGACUGGUUGGAAGAGGCCCUUUUCCCAGCCUUUGUGAAAGAGAUCUUCAUGUAAACAGAGUCCCUCUUAUUGGCUGAAGUGAAGAGUCAUUCUGAGGCAUCUCAAGAUGAAGGUUUCCUAUUUGUGAUUAUGAAAAAAAUGUCAAGAACAAGUCCCUUGGUGUUCUUAGACCAAAGUCAGAACAACAGACCUAGUCAAGAGGAACAGCAUCGAUUGUUAAUAUGCUGUCUGCUUUCAACCCCCAAAGGAUUAUUUUCAGAAUGAAAUGAUCUGUGGUCUUUAAGGGGUGGGGAUGGGAGGAGCUGAAGAACUCUCGAUCCUUCGAAGAGGUCCCAGUGGACUUGAUUUCUCAGUGGAAACAGAGGGAUUUCCUUCUGCAGUGGGAAAGAGACACGAAGUGAUAAACCGAGCACCCUCUUUGAAGAUUUCCCAGUAUAUUUGUCCC
This 745-nucleotide long non-coding RNA is filed under the name Homo sapiens (human). Its description in RNAcentral is "long intergenic non-protein coding RNA 1524". The record is from RNAcentral. Lineage: Eukaryota; Metazoa; Chordata; Mammalia; Primates; Hominidae.